AAAUGAAUAAUCCAAAUUAUUUUAAGCAGUUAUGAAAUCAAUUUUAAAUUGAAUACAUUUUCCCGCUCUUUUGUGUUUAUACAAUGUUGACAUAUAACUAUUAAAAAGAACAUAUAGUUUGGCGAAAGGCCCAUCGUAACCUUCAAAAGUAUUCAGUUCAGUACAGUCAAAAAUGGUAACAGAUAAGGUGCGAAUCGAUUUGCUCCUUUCUCGGCGAAGGUGUUGUAUCGUACGAUGUGUGCGCAUUUUGGUUUAAGCGGUUUAAAAGCGGUGAUUUUAGUCUAAUCGGCAAACAACGCCCUGGAGGCCCUCGGAAGCGCGACAACGAUGAUUUGGAACAACUGCUCGCUGAGAAUUCGGCACAAACGCAAAAAGAGCUUGCAGAACAGUUGGGAGUAACGCAGCCAUGGACGUAAGAAUAUAUGAACACCCCAAAAAAAAUGUUCUAUUCAUAAGCGGGAAAUCCUUUAAGCAUUUCCUCUAAGCAAAAAAAUCUUACAUGAAGCAUUUCUCACUUACUUUAACACAUAUCAUCUAUAAAAGAGUAGACUCAUAAGUUAGAAUUAAGAUUAAUUUUGUCCUGUAUCCUGUAUAGAAAAUUCCAUUACAGUAAUACGACUAGCCUCUUGAAAUAAGAGGAUACGCAAGAUAUUCGCGGACACGCGAGUCGCAGCACGUGCGCCAGCUUCUGAGUAGUUCACCGACCGCCGCUAGGCCGCGCAUGGUGGCGGCCAAAAACUCGGAAGCAAAAUUCAGUCUCGUAGAGUAUAAAAGGAGGCCCGCGAGAGUGAAUUCUGAUCAAUUCUGAUCCCGAGUUUUUGACCGUCACUAUACGCGGCCUAGCGGCGGUUGGUGAAUACUCAGAAGCUGGCGCCCGCGCGCGUGUCGCGUAGUGCCGGAUUGCCAAUUUGUGCCGGAUCGCGCGUUGCAACCGCCACAAAAAGAUUCCUCUAGCAAUUAAGAGGAUACUCGUUUUAAAAGAAAUAUAUAAAUACUAAAAAUAAGAAUAUUUGCAUAUUAGAAGAGGAAAAGAUUCCUCUAGCAUUAAGAGGAUUACCAGUUAAAAUUUCAUGCCUCAGUGUAAUAGGAUUUUCCUCUACAUUUUAGACUAUCAUCUUGAGGCCGUAUUUAAUAGUAAAAUCCUCUAACAUCAAGAGGGAACCACUCAAAAAUAGAAUACUUUUCUUUCAGUGAACGGAGUGUAAGUUAGCGGGGGCCGAGCCAGAGCAGUGAGGGGAAAAGUAGUCAUCACAUAUGGCGGCGACGCUACCAGCCUAUCACGAGGCGUCCUAUACAAUCACCUAGUCAUCACAUAUGGCCGCCACCACGGUUUUACGGUGGCCGCCACCUAAUUUCCCCUCACCGCGCUCGCUUGGGUCCCCUCGUCCUAAAUCCUACAUUACGCUCCGUCCAUAUAUUCUUACGUCCAUGAAUGCAGCAAACGAUUUCCAAACGCCUACAUGAGAUGGGAAAGAUCCAGAAAGAAGGAAAAUGGGUUCCGCAUUGUUAGAACCCCGCGAGAAGUAUCGAAAAGAUCUCUUGUAUUUAGGUCUAACAAUAAGUUGUAUUAGUCUAAGAGAGCACACGGCGCUCGCGUAUGUCACAGGCAUAAGCUUUUGAGUUUUUCCCCUCUUGAAUACAGCUUGCCUAUGUUCUUCUUCUCUCCCCCCCUUUUUGGCCUCGCGACACUCGCCGUGCCAGUGCGCUACUCGAUACACGUGUUCUCCUGUAUCCGCGGACAAGCGAUAGUUGCUUUCCGUACUAAUUUGUUAUACACGUAAUACAAGUACUUGUAUACUAAGUCGUGUGUAGUGCUUUCAACAGCCUAAAUCCCUGUCACGCAUGAACUCACUGAAACCAACAAAAAUCACCGAGUGGCAGCGUGUCUUUCUUUUCUCAAUAAGCAGCGUCGGAAGUCUUUCUUGUGGAAAAUCGUUAUGGGCGAUGAGAAAUGGAUACUCUAUGACAAUCCGAAACGCAGAAAGUCAUGGGUAAAUCCCGGCGAAUCAUCAAAAUCGGUUGCAAAACCCAAUCGCUUCGGAAAGAAGGUUCUUCUCUGCAUUUGGUGGGAUAUCGGGCGUGCUUUUCCACAUAGCACGUAAUAUUACAGAGAAACCUGAGAGCGGCCAUGCCGUAGGGUUUACUUGGGAUCGAUUUUCGCCACCAGUUGUGGAUGUAAGAACUACGGAGUCACAUCCACUUAUCGACACAGUCGAUAAAUAUAACUUUUUGGUGCGUAUCCGUGCUACAUCUACGUUUCGACAUUGUCGAUAAAUCACAUUUUGGUUCGUGUCCGUGCUACAUCCACUUAAUUUUUUUUUUAUAAAAGAAAAUUUAGAUAAUACCGACACUGCCGAUAAAUCUCUUUUUGGCGUAUUUGGCGUGCUAUAUCCACAAUUUAUGGAUGUUAAGAAUUUACAAUAAAAUCAUGUGUGUACACGUUAUGGAAUUUGCAAUAAAAUUUGUAUACAUACAUUAUGUAUCUCUAUUCUAAUGUACGUUGUACACCAAAUAUAC
RNA transcript from Vollenhovia emeryi, 2517 nucleotides. It is a transcript of the gene named histone-lysine N-methyltransferase SETMAR-like, with no coding region annotated. The transcript is spliced from 2 exons. Lineage: Eukaryota; Metazoa; Arthropoda; Insecta; Hymenoptera; Formicidae. The record is from RefSeq and is a predicted model, not a curated record.